GAUGAACGCUGGCGGCGUGCCUAAUACUUGCAAGUCGUACGGAAAGGCCCUUCGGGGUACUCGAGUGGCGGACGGCUGAGUAACGCGUGGGAACGUGCCCCAAAGUGAGGGAUAACGCACCGAAAGGUGUGCUAAUACCGCAUAUGGUCUUCGGAUUAAAGCUUCGGCGCUUUGGGAGCGGCCCGCGUACGAUUAGAUAGUUGGUGAGGUAGUGGCUCACCAAGUCGACGAUCGUUAGCUGGUCUGAGAGGAUGAUCAGCCAGACUGGGACUGAGACACGGCCCAGACUCCUACGGGAGGCAGCAGUAAGGAAUCUUCCACAAUGGGGGCAACCCUGAUGGAGCAACGCCGCGUGCAGGAUGAAGGUUUUCGGAUCGUAAACUGCUUUUAUAAGUGAAGAAAUGACGGUAACUUAUGAAUAAGGAUCGGCUAACUACGUGCCAGCCGCCGCGGUAA
This 456-nucleotide ribosomal RNA is filed under the name uncultured bacterium. RNAcentral's name for it is "partial 16S ribosomal RNA". It matches the Rfam family "Bacterial small subunit ribosomal RNA", at positions 28 to 523 of the family's 1533-position model. The record is from RNAcentral.